This 89-nucleotide ribosomal RNA is filed under the name Epimedium pubescens. Lineage: Eukaryota; Viridiplantae; Streptophyta; Magnoliopsida; Ranunculales; Berberidaceae. RNAcentral also lists the same sequence under 2 other names. The record is from RNAcentral.
GGAUCCCAUCAGAACUCCGAAGUUAAGCGUGCUUGGGCGAGAGUAGUACUAGGAUGGGUGACCUCCUGGGAAGUCCUCGUGUUGCAUCC